RNAcentral lists this microRNA precursor (120 nucleotides) under Marmota monax (woodchuck). The record is from RNAcentral. Lineage: Eukaryota; Metazoa; Chordata; Mammalia; Rodentia; Sciuridae.
GAGAUGGUCCUCAUUCUCUCUCUCUCUCUCUCUCUCUCUCUCUCUCUCUCUCUUUUUUAAAGAGCGUAAGAAAGAGAGAGAGAGAGAGAGAGAGAGAGAGAGAGAAAAUUUUUUUAAUAU